RNAcentral lists this ribosomal RNA (515 nucleotides) under uncultured bacterium. RNAcentral's name for it is "partial 16S ribosomal RNA". It matches the Rfam family "Bacterial small subunit ribosomal RNA", at positions 28 to 523 of the family's 1533-position model. The record is from RNAcentral.
GAUGAACGCUGGCGGCGUGCCUAAUACAUGCAAGUCGAGCGAAUGGAUUAAGAGCUUGCUCUUAUGAAGUUAGCGGCGGACGGGUGAGUAACACGUGGGUAACCUGCCCAUAAGACUGGGAUAACUCCGGGAAACCGGGGCUAAUACCGGAUAACAUUUUGAACCGCACGGUUCGAAAUUGAAAGGCGGCUUCGGCUGUCACUUAUGGAUGGACCCGCGUCGCAUUAGCUAGUUGGUGAGGUAACGUCUCACCAAGGCAACGAUGCGUAGCCGACCCGAGAGGGUGAUCGGCCACACUGGGACUGAGACACGGCCCAGACUCCUACGGGAGGCAGCAGUAGGGAAUCUUCCGCAAUGGACGAAAGUCUGACGGAGCAACGCCGCGUGAGUGAUGAAGGCUUUCGGGUCGUAAAACUCUGUUGUUAGGGAAGAACAAGUGCUAGUUGAAUAAGCUGACACCUUGACGGUACCUAACCAGAAAGCCACGGCUAACUACGUGCCAGCCGCCGCCGUAA